UACGUAGGGUGCGAGCGUUGUCCGGAAUUAUUGGGCGUAAAGGGCUCGUAGGCGGUUUGUCGCGUCGGGAGUGAAAACCAGGUGCUUAACACCUGGCUUGCUUUCGAUACGGGCAGACUAGAGGUAUUCAGGGGAGAACGGAAUUCCUGGUGUAGCGGUGAAAUGCGCAGAUAUCAGGAGGAACACCGGUGGCGAAGGCGGGUC
This 204-nucleotide ribosomal RNA is filed under the name uncultured bacterium. RNAcentral describes it as "partial 16S ribosomal RNA". It matches the Rfam family "Bacterial small subunit ribosomal RNA", at positions 524 to 727 of the family's 1533-position model. The record is from RNAcentral.